Molecule: ribosomal RNA, 376 nt
Filed under: uncultured bacterium
Lineage: Bacteria
Description: bacterial SSU rRNA
Rfam family: Bacterial small subunit ribosomal RNA
Source: RNAcentral
GACAGAGGUGGCAAGCGUUGCUCGGAAUCACUGGGCUUAAAGGGUGCGUAGGCGGUUGGGUAAGCAUCCUGUGAAAUCCCCGGGCUCAACCCGGGAACUGCAGGAUGGACUGCUUAACUUGAGGCGUGUAGAGGUCACUGGAACUCUGGGUGGAGCGGUGAAAUGCGUAGAUAUCCAGGGGAACGCCCAUGGCGAAGGCAGGUGACUGGGCACGUCCUGACGCUGAGGCACGAAAGCGUGGGGAGCGAACGGGAUUAGAUACCCCGGUAGUCCACGCCCUAAACGAUGUACACUAGCUUGAGGAUCUACUGACAGAUUCUGAAGCGUAGGAAAACCGUUAAGUGUACCGCCUGGGGAGUACGGUCGCAAGAUUAAA